UGAUAAAUAAAAGUAUUUUUGAGGGUUGAAAAAGUAUUUUGAUUUUUUUCACAAAUGCAAUAUUUAAUGGAGUGGAGUGUGAAUUAAUUCAGUACCUGGAGUAUAUAGGGUUAAUGUAAUUCAAAACCAGGAGCCUUGUACACAAGUAAGGAAGAAGAAGAGGAUAGAAGUAGAGAGUGAAAGACUAGAGAAAGCUAAGGAAAGGGUGGAAAGAUAGGACGGAAAAAGAAAGCAAUGAAGAUAUAUAACAGAUAUACUGAUGUGGCUUCUGGGGCAGGGAGAUGGAGGAGAAAGACUCUUGAAAGGCUGAAGGAAGACAUAAAGACAAAUACCAGGGAGAGUCACUGCUCCCAUGGCUGAAGCCCACCCCGACAGACCCCGUCAUCGGCAAGGCCACAGCUUGCGUGGAGGUCACCACAACCUGACACAGAGGCCCUUCUGCAAGGACAUCGGCAGUGACUGUCUCUUCCACUUCAGACUGACAGUUUUGUUACUCGUCAUCAUACCCAAAGCACAGAAACUGAACCCAGGUCCUCAUGCGUGCCAGGCAAGCGCUCUCAUCCCCACUCCAUGAGGGGCAAUGUCCCCAACUCUCCUAGCUUACAGAUCACACAAAAGCAAUGUGGUUGCAUUUUUCUGGGGAUAGAACAGAAACAUCCUCCAAGUACAUUUGCCAAAUACACUGAAGUAAUCAAGGUAAAUAAUUCCUACAGUGUGAUUAUCACAAUUAUGGGUAGCCAAUGCUUUUUUUGGAUUAUGAAUCAUUUUAAUAAAUAAUAUGGCUUUUGAUUGUCUCGAAGUUUUUCUGUUUAGUG
This 815-nucleotide long non-coding RNA is filed under the name Heterocephalus glaber (naked mole-rat). RNAcentral's name for it is "lncRNA (ENSHGLG00100047943.1)". Lineage: Eukaryota; Metazoa; Chordata; Mammalia; Rodentia; Bathyergidae. The record is from RNAcentral.